UACAGAGGUCUCAAGCGUUGUUCGGAUUCAUUGGGCGUAAAGGGUGCGUAGGUGGCGCGCUAAGUCGGGUGUGAAAUCUCGGAGCUUAACUCCGAAAUUGCAUUCGAUACUGGCGUGCUUGAGGACUGGAGAGGAGACUGGAAUUCAUGGUGUAGCAGUGAAAUGCGUAGAGAUCAUGAGGAAGACCAGUGGCGAAGGCGGGUCUCUGGACAGUUCCUGACACUGAGCACGAAGGCCCAGGGGAGCAAACGGG
Molecule: ribosomal RNA, 253 nt
Filed under: uncultured bacterium
Lineage: Bacteria
Description: partial 16S ribosomal RNA
Rfam family: Bacterial small subunit ribosomal RNA
Source: RNAcentral